Molecule: ribosomal RNA, 118 nt
Filed under: Fusobacterium necrophorum
Lineage: Bacteria; Fusobacteriati; Fusobacteriota; Fusobacteriia; Fusobacteriales; Fusobacteriaceae
Description: partial 23S ribosomal RNA
Rfam family: Bacterial large subunit ribosomal RNA
Source: RNAcentral
ACUAGCUUCAAGAUAAGUAUUCUAUGAGGAAGCUUCGAGAACAGGAGCUGGAUAGGUUGGGGGUGUACGCGCAGUAAUGUGUUUAGCUGACCAAUACUAAUCGAACGAAAUUUUAAUC